This 214-nucleotide transfer-messenger RNA is filed under the name Brucella melitensis ATCC 23457. Its description in RNAcentral is "tmRNA coding piece". It matches the Rfam family "Alphaproteobacteria transfer-messenger RNA", at positions 148 to 355 of the family's 355-position model. Rfam says of the family: Bacterial tmRNA, also known as 10Sa RNA or SsrA, is named for its dual tRNA and mRNA-like properties. Its role is to liberate the mRNA from a stalled ribosome. To accomplish this part of the tmRNA is used as a reading frame that ends in a translation stop signal. Lineage: Bacteria; Pseudomonadati; Pseudomonadota; Alphaproteobacteria; Hyphomicrobiales; Brucellaceae. The record is from RNAcentral.
GGGGGCGAAACAGGAUCGACAAGGGUGUAAAGAUCGCUCUUUUACUCGGCAUGAUACCACCGUUAUCGGGUCAACAGAGUAGUUGCAAAUGACAACAAUGCUCAGGGUUAUGCUCUCGCUGCCUAAUGGCGGUGCGGGAAACCCACUCUAAAGUCCUUAGGGUUAGCCCCUUAAGGCGGGGUUCGGAGGCACCUGGCAACAGAAGCCUCCACUA